RNAcentral lists this ribosomal RNA (468 nucleotides) under uncultured bacterium. RNAcentral describes it as "partial 16S ribosomal RNA". It matches the Rfam family "Bacterial small subunit ribosomal RNA", at positions 28 to 507 of the family's 1533-position model. The record is from RNAcentral.
GACGAACGCUGGCGGCGUGCUUAACACAUGCAAGUCGAACGGAAAGGCCCUGCUUUUGUGGGGUUCUCGAGUGGCGAACGGGUGAGUAACACGUGAGUAACCUGCCCUUGACUUUGGGGUAACUUCAGGAAACUGGGGCUAAUACCGGAUAGGAGCUCCUGCUGCAUUGUGGGGGUUGGAAAGUUUCGGCGGUUGGGGAUGGACUCGCGGCUUAUCAGCUUGUUGGUGGGGUAGUGGCUUACCAAGGCUUUGACGGGUAGCCGGCCUGAGAGGGUGCCCGGGCUCAUUGGUACUAAGGUACGGAGCAGACGCCUACGGGAGGCAGCAGUGGGGAAUAUUGCACAAUGGGCGGAAGCCUGAGGCGGCAACGCCGCGUGCGUGAUGACGGCCUUCGGGUUGAAAACCGCUUUCGCCUGUGACGAAGCGUGAGUGACGGUAAUGGGUAAAGAAGCACCGGCUAACUACGUG